UGGGGAAUAUUGCACAAUGGGCGAAAGCCUGAUGCAGCAACGCCGCGUGAGGGACGACGGCCUUCGGGUUGUAAACCUCUUUUAGCAAGGAAGAAGCGAAAGUGACGGUACUUGCAGAAAAAGCGCCGGCUAACUACGUGCCAGCAGCCGCGGUAAUACGUAGGGCGCAAGCGUUAUCCGGAAUUAUUGGGCGUAAAGAGCUCGUAGGCGGUUUGUCGCGUCUGCUGUGAAAACCCGAGGCUCAACCUCGGGCCUGCAGUGGGUACGGGCAGACUAGAGUGCGGUAGGGGAGAUUGGAACUCCUGGUGUAGCGGUGGAAUGCGCAGAUAUCAGGAAGAACACCGAUGGCGAAGGCAGAUCUCUGGGCCGUAACUGACGCUGAGGAGCGAAAAGGGUGGGGAGCAAAACAGGCUUAGAUACCCUGGUAGUCCACCCGUAAACGUUGGGAACUAGUUGUGGGUCCAUUCCACGGAUUCCGUGACGCAGCUAACGCAUUAAGUUCCCCGCCUGGGGAGUACGGCCGCAAGGCUAAAACU
This 536-nucleotide ribosomal RNA is filed under the name uncultured bacterium. Its description in RNAcentral is "partial 16S ribosomal RNA". It matches the Rfam family "Bacterial small subunit ribosomal RNA", at positions 355 to 901 of the family's 1533-position model. The record is from RNAcentral.